Molecule: long non-coding RNA, 3332 nt
Organism: Pseudopipra pipra
Lineage: Eukaryota; Metazoa; Chordata; Aves; Passeriformes; Pipridae
Exons: 2
Source: RefSeq, a predicted model, not a curated record
UCCCCAUGAGGGGACGGCAGCACUGGAGGGUCCUCAUAAGGGGAUGGCAGCACUGGGGGGUUCUCCACGAGGGGAUGGCGGCACUGAGGGGGUCCCCACGAGGGGACGGCGGCAUUGGAGUGUGUCCUCAUGAGGGGAUGGUGGCACUGGGGGAGUCCCCGUGGCUGCUACACCCCGUCGCCACGGCAGGCAGGGACGAUCGCCACAGCACACACAUGUCCCCGCCGGGCCCCCGUGCGGCAGGGCCGGGCUGUCCCCGCCCGCCCUCCCUAACCCGCCAUGUCGGGGGCGGGGCCGCUCCCGCCCUCACAGCGAUGGCGGCGGCUCGGGGGCCUUCGUGUGGGCUCUGUGAGGGCUCUGUGAGGCACCCGAAUUUAGGAGCUCGCUAAACACAGACACACAUCCUAGUUUGGGAAAGGACGCACUGUUCAUCCCGCUCAUUGCGCCUCCACAAAUCAGGCAGCCCAAGGGGUGAAAACUCAUCUCUUUUAUGCAGUAAAGUUCACACGAGCCCGCCCGCCUAAUACAUAUUUUCUUGGGUGAUGUGAUCUUACCUGAAACACAAAGCUCUUUUCUUCAUUCAGCAGCUUCUGUUGUAGAAGUUACCAAAAGUUAUCUGGCAACUUCAGUUUUGUUUACAAAAGGUGAAAAAAAUCAGUCUGGGGACUGAUAAUUCGACUUGAAGGGCACAUUGUUUAUUCUGUUUAUUCUUCACAGGGUGCAAGGUGGAGGUUUCCACUAAAGAAACACACCAAAGGUAUCCUCUGUCCUGGAGGUUAUCAGAAGUUAUCUGACGACAUCAGUUAUGUUUAGGAAAGGUGGGAAAACUCAUCCCAGGGACAGACAGAAAGACAAACAUCCACCUCCACCUGCCUGUGCACUGAUGGUUUAAGUUCUUUAUUAAAUCUAUGUACUGUUCUUUAUUAAAUCUUUUUGCACCUACAAGUUUUAUUUUCCAUCUUAUGUUGCCUCCUGUGCUGUGCAGGGGAGUUCUGGGAUUUUUUGCAAACUAUGUCAAAUAUUUUUUAAUAAAUUCCUCAGGGGUAUUUCUCAGAAUGAAUCAAAGGCAAAAGUCCUCACUUAAUACCCUCGAGAGGAGAACAAGCAGGAGUUUCCAGAUCACCUUUGGAGUUAUAACACUGAAAAGCAUCUCACUCAUUCCUGCCUCAGCCCUGCAGUCCCUCAUGUCUCUUAGUCACUGUUUCCAGGCAGGGAAUUAAUUUAUAAUAGUCAGGAUUUAUUCCCCUAAGAAUGGUGGGAACAAAGUUUAAAAAUCAUAUAGAUAACAACCCAUUUUAGAGAAUAUAAUUUUCUCUAGGUGGUGAAAUAACUAGUUCUGAAACUUGUGGUAUCUGGUGCCUAUAGGGAAUUUGGGUAGUGAGUGAGGGGCACAAGCAGCUCCUGUUUUAAGAAAGCAGCUUCACCUUUGCUGCCAUUUUUAUUGGUGAAUCACAUUUUGAUAUAACAUAAGGACUGUAUAAAAAACAACCCCCUUGUUACUGAAGCCUUUUCUACCUGCAUUUCUCUGUCUGACCAACAUAACCUCAGAUGUGUUGGAAAAUGUACAGUGGUGUCUUCUACCUUCUGGCUGUGGCAACUGAGUGGUAUUUGGGGGUUUUUUUGUAUUCUUUUUUCAUAAUGUGACUAAAGCUCAGGAAUGUCAUCCUUCUUGUGAGCCUUUUCUAAAUGUCAAGUGAAGCAGCUCAGAUUAUGAGUUAUGGAAGGAGCACUGGAUGGUAAGAAUUCCUAAAGAUAGAUGGGGAUGGAGUGCCAGUGCCGUGGAUUUGAAACUGACUUUGUGCUGGGACAGGAACAGAGCAAAACAUGGAAGUCCCUGUGGUUUGUUUGGGGUUUUUUUAAACUUUGAAUAGAGCUACUGUUCAAAUGUAUCCAGUUACUGGAUCCCAGCCAGCACCUCUGGAAUAGCUGUGAGAGAUACUUUUUUUUUUUUUCCCCUAAAGGGGAAAUUCUCCUGUCUGAAAUACUUUCUUAAUUCCCAAAGUAGGUUUGGAAUGCAGUCACUGAGGUUUGUGCUGUAAUGAGUGAGUCACGGUCUGCUCAGCUUUUGGGAAUGGUGUGUGUACUGUUUGCAUUUGUCAACUGCUAAAUUGCUCCGGGAACAACACACUAAUUAAGAUGAGAUAUUGCAUAGUUUGUUUCCUGUUAAUUUGUCUCAGAGAAAGUGGAUAAUUGAUUUUGUUUUCCCUCAGAGGCUGGUGCCAAACAUACUGUGGGGAUUGAGACAUUUUUCAGGUGUUGAACCAAGUUGUUGGGGGUGCUGCUGUAGAAAGAGAUGAAAGAGCCAACUGACAUCAUUCUGGGGAAUCACAAGCAGUCUCAAACACAUCUCCAAAACUGGCAGUGUGACUGGGCCAAGCGUGGCAGGGGGGGCUGGGAGCCUCCUCUGUGUGGGUCAUGUGGACUCAUUGCCCCACCAGUGAGUUCAACCAGCUGUUCCUCGAGGUAAAAUCCAAAAGGUGAGGUGUGAUGAGUCACCUCCAGUGGGGUCGAUUUUUCCUUCUCUGUAACUGUAAAGAGAUUGCAGCCCUGGUGCAAGGAACACUGACACUUUGGAGAGAGAGAGUGCUGCCUGGCAGUAGAAAGCAGGGUUCUUUUUGGAGCUCUUUGUUACUGCUCUUCUAAAAUGGCUCGUGUUUUCUUACCCAAGGCUUACCUAAACACAGGCCUACAGCGCUCACAGCUGGAAAAAAGCUCAUACACUGCAUGUUCGUGAAAGGUGUGGGAGAGGCAGAGCGAGCACUGUUUAUCCUCUGGAGGGUGCUGUUGUUUUGUACUAACAGCAGAGAGGGCCCGCAAACCUCCGAGGGAACAUUUCGGGUGCUGUUUGCUUUAGGGAGGAUUAAGGAUGUGCUGUCCUUUUCUCCUUCUCAAAUCUCUCACGAAUCCUGUAUGUUGUGAUCCACCUGUUCUCCAGCAUUCCCGAGACUGGCUGAACUUAGCUAAUGACUCAGAUUUUUCUUAGCAAAUCCUCCUGAUCAGGACUAGGACUUUUUUUUUAACAUUUCUUAAAACUUCCCUUGAUCCCCCAGCCCCCAACAAUUGAGCUCUUUUUCAGCUGCGGGAUGAGUAUUUGUUGGCUCGGUGGAGGUAUUUCCUACUGUAAUGUGUGUGACAUUGUUCUAAUGGUCUUGAAUUUUAUUGCCUUGUUUUAUAACUCAUAAAGAUAUAACUGCAAUCCUAACAAAGGAGAUGAUGUCUUGGAUCAUUGCCUCUGUCAUUUUUCUUCCUUGUCAACACUGUUAUAGCCUUUUUAUCAGAGAGGGAACCAGUACCCUGUGUGCUGUAAGUAAAAUUCUGAACUCAGUUUAUAA